UACGUAGGGUGCAAGCGUUAAUCGGAAUUACUGGGCGUAAAGCGUGCGUAGGCGGUUGCGCAAGACAGGUGUGAAAUCCCCGGGCUUAACCUGGGAAUUGCACUUGUGACUGUGCGGCUGGAGUGCGGCAGAGGGGGAUGGAAUUCCGCGUGUAGCAGUGAAAUGCGUAGAUAUGCGGAGGAACACCGAUGGCGAAGGCAGUCCCCUGGGCCUGCACUGACGCUCAUGCACGAAAGCGUGGGGAGCAAACAGG
This 253-nucleotide ribosomal RNA is filed under the name uncultured bacterium. RNAcentral describes it as "partial 16S ribosomal RNA". It matches the Rfam family "Bacterial small subunit ribosomal RNA", at positions 524 to 776 of the family's 1533-position model. The record is from RNAcentral.